Long non-coding RNA from Olea europaea var. sylvestris, 530 nucleotides. RefSeq lists it as uncharacterized. The record is from RefSeq and is a predicted model, not a curated record. NCBI's taxonomy places the organism in Eukaryota, Viridiplantae, Streptophyta, Magnoliopsida, Lamiales, Oleaceae. The transcript is spliced from 2 exons.
UAGAUGGAGGGGGAAGGAUUAAAAUAAAGUGUAUUAUCAUAAGAAUUGGUUUAUACUUGGAGGAGAAACAAACAUUGUUGGGAGAUACAUGAUAUGGAGCUAGUAAUGCAUUCUAUUUGAGAGCUGGAGUUUUUAUUUAUGACAGGCCGAUGAUGUUGGUUUCUUUGUAAGUUACUCGACAGUAGUCGAUAUGAUCAUUCUAUCAUAGAUGUCCUGGACGUCUGUGCUGAAGGUCUUAAUCCAUUUCAGAGGUGAAAAACUAUUUCGAUUAUUUUCUAUGAAUUCCUUAGCUUGAUUCAUGUGCGUGUUUGUGCAUCGGGUCGCCAGAAGAGAGAGAGUUUAGUUCAUGAUAUCUUGGAUAGUUUGUAUGUGUGCUUUGAAAUUUUAUCAAGAGGGCAAUCGUUCUGUGGUGCUGAUGAUGUUAUUAACCUAUCUAGUAUUGAUGCUAUUCAAUGACACUCUAAGUGGCAGUGGGGCUCAUCUAGACUUGUUCAAUGAAUUGAAAUUUAACUUAAUCGUACUUGAAAAGU